AUGGAUCAGGAGCUGAUCGAGCACCUUGAGGCGAAAGUGAGUGCUGACAGCGCGAGAUCUCACCCUCUCAUCGAUUUGUUCAUACCAACCAUUGACAGCGAGCACGGCAUAUGCUACACCCAUCCUGAGAAAUUUCCAGGUAUCACACUGAGUGGCCUUAGCAAGCAUUUCUUCCAGCAUAAUUCCAGGGCGUUCAAAAGGGGCACGUGGACGCGUCACAAGAUACAGUCGGAGUGCGGCAUGCACGCGAUGUGGCACAACACCGGCAAUACCUUGCCGGUGAUGGUCAACGGCCGGCAGACGGGAAGCAAAAAGGUUCUGGUGCUGCACACCAGCAAGAACUUCGACUAG
RNAcentral lists this ribosomal RNA (351 nucleotides) under Triticum aestivum (bread wheat). Its description in RNAcentral is "partial small subunit ribosomal RNA". Lineage: Eukaryota; Viridiplantae; Streptophyta; Magnoliopsida; Poales; Poaceae. The record is from RNAcentral.